This 1528-nucleotide long non-coding RNA is filed under the name Mus musculus (house mouse). RNAcentral's name for it is "long non-coding RNA chr3:62460689-62462217". Lineage: Eukaryota; Metazoa; Chordata; Mammalia; Rodentia; Muridae. The record is from RNAcentral.
GUCCAUUUUGUAAAUACUUUUUGUGUCUUAGCCUAAUGCUGUUAAUUCCACAAGGAACUAAUAGUAGUUCGGUAGGUGAGCUGUCAUGUUUUGUAAACCUCUUUCUACGAAAGGGAAAUUGACACUUGAACUCUGCCACCAUUUUCCUUAAUAGAAGGAAGGUGAGGCACCACCUAGUGAGGAUUUUUAAAAAUCCAUCUCAUUCAAUAUUGUUCUUAGAUAACUACAGCAUUGCAACCUUAAGCUACUAAAAUGACAUGGGAUUUCCAGCUCACGUAUGUGAGAACAUCCUGAAGACAGGAUAUUAUGGGUCAACUGCUAAAGAGCUGACAUAAGAUUGCUCUGCCUUCAGUAACACAUGGUUCCUGACAGUUCUGCUUGUUUUCAAUUGAAAAUGGCUGGAACAUACAUUAACAAUCUUCAGAAAGAGAAAAUUAAGCUUAGAUAGUAUCAAGAUACCAACAAGGUACUUGCUUGAAAUAUUUUGAUGUUAGCAGGAAUUCAUUGCAUUAAAUACCUGGUAGAUGGGUUUGGAGUCUCUCUUAGCUAUGAGUUCCAAAAAGACAUUAUCUUCUGACUAGGACAAGGAGAGACAAUGUAGUAUACUACAGUUUAUUAAAAGGUCAUGAAGGUUUGAAAGACUGACAUGGGAAAUAUUUUCAUUGGUUGCUAUAACCCCUCUAUUCUGUAUACCAUGCAAAAUCUAUAUAGAUCUUAUCAGCUGCCUCAGAUCUUUGUCCCAUAUCCCUACUCCUGUCUAAACACACCCAAAGCAUAAGAUUCCAGAAGCCCAGUAUGUAAGUGUGCUUGGCUCAUACCCAGAAGCCCAUCCACCUCAGCAGUAAACCAGAAUAGGGCUCCCAGACACGUCUCACUUCUGGGAUGCCUUUCCUUGCAAAAGACAUUCCAGGCCCUGAGUCCUUGGAGGUAUGAGUAAGUACAUGAAUGAAGCAAUAGCAGUAGUCCACAGCAAGAGAUGUCCCAGGAUUAUAAAACAGGAAAUCUGUCUCCUCUUCAAUGUCACAAACUUUUUAGAAGUACUAACAUGUUGUAGUUUAAUUUCAUGUUUUACUUGAAGCAGAAGGUGUUGCUUGAAAGAGGAGUCAUUUUGUAUUAUUUUUUUGCUAAUACCCAUUUGGAGCUAUAAAGUAAUACUAUGAUCCUGUGAAUUAAUUUAUAAGUGUUAAACAGUGUGGAAAUAUGCAUCCUUUAAAUCAAGCAGCUGAACACUUACUAAAGUGUUCCUGUAUAGCAGGUAUUUAAUGGUCACAGUUGUUUCACUUCAACUGUGAUUGUUUUUAACAUUUUUUAAUGCCUUCUUUGAAAUGUACAGUGUGACUUCACUCCUGCAAAACCAGAAAUGUUACUUUUGUUCCAAUAAAUUGAAACUGCUUGUACACUUUCAACAAAGCUUGUGAAUUUAUAAAGACUUUAUAACUUCUUUCUGUGCUGGUGUAAUUUGAUUUACUCGUGGUAUGGAGUUUGUGGCUUGGGGGAUUUGUGGUUAAAUAAAAGCUAUACUGAAGUU